Molecule: small RNA, 104 nt
Organism: Staphylococcus saprophyticus
Lineage: Bacteria; Bacillati; Bacillota; Bacilli; Caryophanales; Staphylococcaceae
Rfam family: Staphylococcus sRNA sau-13
Source: Rfam
CCAGUAACAUCAUUAGGAUGACCAGAUUUAUCAAUUGAAGCACCCUCUACCAUUAAGAAGAAUCCUUUAUCAUUUUGUUUCAAUUUAUUAACAGCAGUAUCUGU